Ictalurus punctatus (channel catfish) is the source of this 1059-nucleotide long non-coding RNA. The record is from Ensembl. Lineage: Eukaryota; Metazoa; Chordata; Actinopteri; Siluriformes; Ictaluridae.
UCAUCGGUCAAGUGUAGCGUACGUGUAGGUUCAGUUUGCGUCUGGCUUCGUGUUUGUCCGGCUGCUGCUGUUUGUGCGCGUAAUGUCUGUUUAGUGUUUGCGUAUCUCGUUACUGAUGUGAAAGUAGCAUUGACACUGAACGGAUUCAAAUGCUUUAAAAAAAAAAAAAAAGAGAGAGAAGAAAAUCACACAUAGACCAACCUAACCUUUUAAUCUUUAUCAUGACCAAAUAGAUAUCAUGACUGUGUAUUAUAUUUACAUAUCAUAUGAAUGAAGUGUAUAGUAAACUGAGAUUUAUUUGACAUUGGUUGAGUUUUAACAAAUAAUAUAAAUGAUCUUGGGAUCACUUUCAUAAAGGGGACCUCUGAGUACAAAUGUACAAAAGAAAGAUGAUUUAUGACGAGAGGUGUGCAAUAAUGGGUCUUGGAAGGGUUUUGUAAAAUUGGCUUGAAGUCGAUGCGUGUUUUAAUCACAUUGCGGUCUUCGUAUAUGGACAGUAUCGAAUCUGUAUAAUUCACCCGCGUUUCCUUAAUUCAGCGUUUCCAGUUACUGUCGAUUUAGGCUGAAAGUAAGUCCGUAAACUUGAACAGAAUCUCAGAAGAUCUUUGUAUUUCAUCUGUUUCCUUUUCAACUUUCCUUUGCUAUGUCAUGAUCUGGUUUCAGUUUCUGAUCAGUAAUUUGACCUCUAAAUCAAAAGAAAAGAAACAAAGCCUAUUCUUCUAUCUUUAUAUUCUACCAAUGUAAUAUGUGUACAGUGUGGCACUUUUGUGAACUUUGUAUCGUGUUACGAGAUUGUACUGUCUGAAGUUGACAAUUUGAUGAAAAAAAAAACCAAACAAACAACAACAACAAAAAAAAAAACAAAUCUGUAAAUAUUUCUCAAAAUACACACGCUGAUGUUCUCUUUGAAGCUUUUCAGUCAUUUUCUCGAAACAGAUUUGAUUGUGUAGAUUCUUAAUUGCAGUGUAUAGUUUUGGACAGAAAAUAGAUUUGAAGAAUAACCAGAAGGUUGAAAUAAAGAUCUUCAAACAACGAGAACUGGCGAAAUGAUUUUGUGUC